UGCCUCAGUAACGGCGAGUGAAGCGGCAACAGCUCAAAUUUGAAAUCUGGCCGCAAGGUCCGAGUUGUAAUUUGCAGAGGAUGCUUUUGGCGAGGUGCCUUCCGAGUUCCCUGGAACGGGACGCCAUAGAGGGUGAGAGCCCCGUACGGUAGGACCACCGAGCCUUUGUAAAGCUCCUUCGACGAGUCGAGUAGUUUGGGAAUGCUGCUCUAAAUGGGAGGUGUACGUCUUCUAAAGCUAAAUACCGGCCAGAGACCGAUAGCGCACAAGUAGAGUGAUCGAAAGAUGAAAAGCACUUUGAAAAGAGGGUUAAAAAGUACGUGAAAUUGUUGAAAGGGAAGCAUUCAUGACCAGACUUGGGCUUGGUUGAACAUCCGGCGUUCUCGCCGGUGCACUCUGCCAGUCCAGGCCAGCAUCAGUUUGCCCCGGGGGACAAAGGCGGUGGGAAUGUGGCUCUCUCCGGGGAGUGUUAUAGCCCGCCGUGUAAUGCCCUGGGGCGGACUGAGGAACGCGCUUCGGCUCGGAUGCUGGCGUAAUGGUCAUCAAUGACCCGUCUUGAAACACGGACCAAGGAGUCGUCUUCGUAUGCGAGUGUUCGGGUGUCAAACCCCUACGCGAAAUGAAAGUGAA
This 630-nucleotide ribosomal RNA is filed under the name Sarocladium spinificis. RNAcentral's name for it is "partial large subunit ribosomal RNA". It matches the Rfam family "Eukaryotic large subunit ribosomal RNA", at positions 76 to 729 of the family's 3401-position model. Lineage: Eukaryota; Fungi; Ascomycota; Sordariomycetes; Hypocreales; Sarocladiaceae. The record is from RNAcentral.